Molecule: ribosomal RNA, 508 nt
Filed under: Botrytis cinerea
Lineage: Eukaryota; Fungi; Ascomycota; Leotiomycetes; Helotiales; Sclerotiniaceae
Description: eukaryotic LSU rRNA
Rfam family: 5.8S ribosomal RNA (bases 142-295)
Source: RNAcentral
UAUGGCCCGAAAGGGUACACCUCCCACCCUUGUGUAUUAUUACUUUGUUGCUUUGGCGAGCUGCCUUCGGGCCUUGUAUGCUCGCCAGAGAAUACCAAAACUCUUUUUAUUAAUGUCGUCUGAGUACUAUAUAAUAGUUAAAACUUUCAACAACGGAUCUCUUGGUUCUGGCAUCGAUGAAGAACGCAGCGAAAUGCGAUAAGUAAUGUGAAUUGCAGAAUUCAGUGAAUCAUCGAAUCUUUGAACGCACAUUGCGCCCCUUGGUAUUCCGGGGGGCAUGCCUGUUCGAGCGUCAUUUCAACCCUCAAGCUUAGCUUGGUAUUGAGUCUAUGUCAGUAAUGGCAGGCUCUAAAAUCAGUGGCGGCGCCGCUGGGUCCUGAACGUAGUAAUAUCUCUCGUUACAGGUUCUCGGUGUGCUUCUGCCAAAACCCAAAUUUUUCUAUGGUUGACCUCGGAUCAGGUAGGGAUACCCGCUGAACUUAAGCAUAUCAUAGCCGGGAAAGAAAAA